Molecule: ribosomal RNA, 377 nt
Filed under: uncultured bacterium
Lineage: Bacteria
Description: bacterial SSU rRNA
Rfam family: Bacterial small subunit ribosomal RNA
Source: RNAcentral
CGAAAGCCAGACGCAGCGACGCCGCGUGGGCGAAGAAGGCCUUCGGGUUGUAAAGCCCUUUUCCAGGGGAAGAGGAAGGACGGUACCCUGGGAAUAAGUCCCGGCUAACUAUGUGCCAGCAGCCGCGGUAAGACAUAGGGGACGAGCGUUAUCCGGAUUUACUGGGCGUAAAGAGCGUUGAGGCGGUUCCGUAAGUUGGAUGUGAAAGCCCCGGGCUUAACUCGGGGAGGUCGUUCAAUACUGCGGGGCUAGAGGGCAGCAGAGGGAGGUGGAAUUCCCGGUGUAGUGGUGAAAUGCGUAGAUAUCGGGAGGAACACCCGUGGCGAAGGCGGCCUCCUGGGCUGACCCUGACGCUGAAUGCGAAAGCUAGGGGAGCG